This 571-nucleotide ribosomal RNA is filed under the name Didymocyrtis aff. consimilis Diederich 17465. RNAcentral's name for it is "eukaryotic LSU rRNA". The stretch from base 222 to 375 matches the Rfam family "5.8S ribosomal RNA". The record is from RNAcentral. Lineage: Eukaryota; Fungi; Ascomycota; Dothideomycetes; Pleosporales; Phaeosphaeriaceae.
UUCCGUAGGUGAACCUGCGGAAGGAUCAUUACACUCAGUAGUUUACUACUGUAAAGGAGGCUGUCAGUCUGUAUAGCUUAAUCGCUGAUGAGCAGCUGGUCUCUUUUUCUCCACCCUUGUCUUUUGCGUACCCUUGUUUCCUCGGCAGGCUUGCUUGUCGGUUGGACAAUUCUAUAACCUUUUUAAUUUUCAAUCAGCGUCUGCAAAAACGUAAUAAUUACAACUUUCAACAACGGAUCUCUUGGUUCUGGCAUCGAUGAAGAACGCAGCGAAAUGCGAUAAGUAGUGUGAAUUGCAGAAUUCAGUGAAUCAUCGAAUCUUUGAACGCACAUUGCGCCCCUUGGUAUUCCAUGGGGCAUGCCUGUUCGAGCGUCAUUUGUACCCUCAAGCUUUGCUUGGUGUUGGGUGUUUGUCCACUCCUUGUUGUUUGGACUCGCCUUAAAACAAUUGGCAGCCAGUGUUUUGGUAUGGAAGCGCAGCACAAUUUGCGAUUCUGGCCUAACAACACUUGCGUCCACAAGUCUUUUUAACGCUUGACCUCGGAUCAGGUAGGGAUACCCGCUGAACUUAA